AUACGGAGGAUCCGAGCGUUAUCCGGAUUUAUUGGGUUUAAAGGGUGCGCAGGCGGCCAUUUAAGUCAGCGGUUAAAUCGUGGGGCUCAACCCCAUUCUGCCGUUGAUACUGGGUGGCUUGAUUGCGGUCGAGGUUGGCGGAAUUCGUUGUGUAGCGGUGAAAUGCAUAGAUAUGACGAAGAACACCGAUUGCGUAGGCAGCUGACCAGACCGCAAAUGACGCUCAUGCACGAAAGUGCGGGGAUCGAACAGGAUUAGAUACCCUGGUAGUCCGCACAGUAAACGAUGAAUACUUGUUUUCGGCGAUAUAAUGUCGGAGGCAAAGCGAAAGCGAUAAGUAUUCCACCUGGGGAGUAUGCCGGCAACGGUGAAACUUAAAGGAAUUGACGGGG
This 392-nucleotide ribosomal RNA is filed under the name uncultured bacterium. RNAcentral's name for it is "partial 16S ribosomal RNA". It matches the Rfam family "Bacterial small subunit ribosomal RNA", at positions 523 to 918 of the family's 1533-position model. The record is from RNAcentral.